UACGGGGGGGGCAAGCGUUGUUCGGAAUUACUGGGCGUAAAGGGCUUGUAGGUGGCCAACUAAGUCAGACGUGAAAUCCCUCGGCUUAACCGGGGAACUGCGUCUGAUACUGGAUGGCUUGAGUUCGGGAGAGGGAUGCGGAAUUCCAGGUGUAGCGGUGAAAUGCGUAGAUAUCUGGAGGAACACCGGUGGCGAAGGCGGCAUCCUGGACCGACACUGACACUGAGGAGCGAAAGCCAGGGGAGCAAACGGG
Molecule: ribosomal RNA, 253 nt
Filed under: uncultured bacterium
Lineage: Bacteria
Description: partial 16S ribosomal RNA
Rfam family: Bacterial small subunit ribosomal RNA
Source: RNAcentral